CCUACGGGAGGCAGCAGUAGGGAAUUUUCCGCAAUGGGCGAAAGCCUGACGGAGCAAUACCGCGUGAGGGAUGACUGCCUAUGGGUUGUAAACCUCUUUUUUCAGGGAGGAAUAAAUGACGUGUACCUGAAGAAUAAGCAUCGGCUAACUCCGCGCCAGCAGCCGCGGUAAGACGGAGGAUGCAAGUGUUAUCCGGAAUCACUGGGCGUAAAGCGUCUGUAGGUGGCUCAAUAAGUCAACUGUUAAAUCUUGAAGCUCAACUUCAAAAUCGCAGUCGAAACUAUUGAACUAGAGUAUAGUAGAGGUAAAGGGAAUUUCCAGUGGAGCGGUGAAAUGCGUAGAGAUUGGAAAGAACACCAAUGGCGAAGGCACUUUACUGGGCUAUUACUGACACUCAGAGACGAAAGCUAGGGUAGCAAAUGGGAUUAGAUACCCCAGUAGUCCUAGCCGUAAACAAUGGAUACUAGGUGUUGAACAGAUCGACCUGUGCAGUACUAAAGCUAACGCGUUAAGUAUCCGCCUGGGAAGUAUGCACGCAGAGUAGAACACGAAAGAAGUAGACGCGUGAGAGACGACGACGACGACGACGAGGGAGGAGG
This 599-nucleotide ribosomal RNA is filed under the name uncultured bacterium. Its description in RNAcentral is "bacterial SSU rRNA". It matches the Rfam family "Bacterial small subunit ribosomal RNA", at positions 338 to 1414 of the family's 1533-position model. The record is from RNAcentral.